This 434-nucleotide ribosomal RNA is filed under the name uncultured bacterium. RNAcentral describes it as "partial 16S ribosomal RNA". It matches the Rfam family "Bacterial small subunit ribosomal RNA", at positions 29 to 507 of the family's 1533-position model. The record is from RNAcentral.
AGCGAACGCUGGCGGCAGGCCUAACACAUGCAAGUCGAACGAACCUUUCGGGGUUAGUGGCGGACGGGUGAGUAACACGUGGGAACGUGCCUUUAGGUUCGGAAUAACUCAGGGAAACUUGUGCUAAUACCGAAUGUGCCCUUCGGGGGAAAGAUUUAUCGCCUUUAGAGCGGCCCGCGUCUGAUUAGCUAGUUGGUUGAGGUAAUGGCUCACCAAGGCGACGAUCAGUAGCUGGUCUGAGAGGAUGAUCAGCCACAUUGGGACUGAGACACGGCCCAAACUCCUACGGGAGGCAGCAGUGGGGAAUCUUGCGCAAUGGGCGAAAGCCUGACGCAGCCAUGCCGCGUGAAUGAUGAAGGUCUUAGGAAUGUAAAAUUCUUUCACCGGGGACGAUAAUGACGGUACCCGGAGAAGAAGCCCCGGCUAACUUCGUG